AACGAACGCUGGCGGCAUGCCUAACACAUGCAAGUCGAACGAGACCUUCGGGUCUAGUGGCGCACGGGUGCGUAACGCGUGGGAACCUGCCCUUAGGUUCGGAAUAACUCCCCGAAAGGGGUGCUAAUACCGGAUAAUGUCUUCGGACCAAAGAUUUAUCGCCUUUGGAUGGGCCCGCGUUGGAUUAGCUAGUUGGUAGGGUAAAAGCCUACCAAGGCGACGAUCCAUAGCUGGUCUGAGAGGAUGAUCAGCCACACUGGGACUAAGACACGGCCCAGACUCCUACGGGAGGCAGCAGUGGGGAAUAUUGGACAAUGGGCGAAAGCCUGAUCCAGCAAUGCCGCGUGAGUGAUGAAGGCCUUAGGGUUGUAAAGCUCUUUUACCCGGGAUGAUAAUGACAGUACCGGGAGAAUAAGCGCCGGCUAACUCCGUG
RNAcentral lists this ribosomal RNA (433 nucleotides) under uncultured bacterium. RNAcentral describes it as "partial 16S ribosomal RNA". It matches the Rfam family "Bacterial small subunit ribosomal RNA", at positions 29 to 507 of the family's 1533-position model. The record is from RNAcentral.